This 253-nucleotide ribosomal RNA is filed under the name uncultured bacterium. RNAcentral describes it as "partial 16S ribosomal RNA". It matches the Rfam family "Bacterial small subunit ribosomal RNA", at positions 524 to 776 of the family's 1533-position model. The record is from RNAcentral.
UACGUAGGGUGCGAGCGUUGUCCGGAAUUAUUGGGCGUAAAGAGCUCGUAGGCGGUUUGUCGCGUCGACUGUGAAAACCUGGGGCUUAACUCUGGGCCUGCAGUCGAUACGGGCAGACUUGAGUGUUGCAGGGGAGACUGGAAUUCCUGGUGUAGCGGUGAAAUGCGCAGAUAUCAGGAGGAACACCGGUGGCGAAGGCGGGUCUCUGGGCAACUACUGACGCUGAGGAGCGAAAGCGUGGGGAGCGAACAGG